UCUCCUGAUUCUUCUCUCCCCUUCCCCCUCUCCACCCACAGAUCUCGAUCGCUUUCCUCCUCCCAGCCACCCCCAACGAGCCGCUGCCUGCCUCUGUCAAGCUGCCUGUGGCUUUCGACUGGAGCCCGGAGGAAGGCGAGGAGAGGGGCUUCGGCUUUGCGCCUCCACGAUCUCUCCCCUUUUUAUGAUUAUCUGUUAAACUUUCUCUCGAGCCUCAUCCUCAUCCUCAUCGCCGCCCGCCAUCCCCCCCGCCACCGCCAUCCCCGCCACCAUUCUUCUCCCUUCCUCCGGCACUUGUGGGCAAAGGGGCAUCGAUCUUCGAUCAGGAAGAUGGCUGCUGGCUGGUGGCUCUUCUGGAGCCUGACACUUUCCCAGUCCUUGGUGAUAAACAUCUCCGCGGAAGGGCCCUUCCCUUCUGCCACAACGGAAAUGACCAAGGAAAGCAUUUUGUACUAAGAUCCAAACCGGUGAUUACCAGAAAGUGAUUGAUUCUGCCCAGUGAUCAUAUGUAAUCCUCGAAGGCUUUCACAGCUGGGAUCUGAUGGUUGUUGUGGGUUUUUCGGGCUCUUUGGCCGUGUUCUUAAGAGCACAGGCAGGACUUCUGACUCCUGUCCUCUGAAGAUGCCGGCCACAGAGACUGUCGAAAUGUUAGGAAGAACAACCUUCAGAACACGGCCAAAGAGCCCCAAAAAACCACAACAACCAUUGAUUAUAUGUAACUUCAGCUGCAACAUUUUAAAGAAGAACCCACAAGGUUGUUUUAUAGUUUUGGGGAAAUGGAGGUGGGAGAGUGGGCAGGGGGCUGCGAGGCUGAAUGCGGCAGUGGCACUGGGGGAGGAUUGAUUAAUGUGUUCUUUUAAAUGGCUUUUUGCAAGCAAAUCACACCCUCUGAGUUCUCUUUUUCCUUCCUGCAGAUGGGAAAGAAUAGCAAACACAGAGUUGUAAAAAAUCCUCAGUUUGGAGGGAUGUAAGAUGCAAAAUUUUUCCCAAGGAACUGUAUUGGGGUUGUUGCUUCUUAGCUUCUUCAUCUGCGAUCUUGAGUUGGUCUUGGCCACUGAAAUGGCCAAAUUUGUGAAUGGCAGACUAUUUUUUUUGCUAUGAAAAGAAAGAGAACGACUCUUAAUAGUUUUCUUCAGUGUGGGCAAUUAAGAAUAGCAAAUGCAAUUCAAUGUAAGCAAGUAUUAGGUGAUGUCCAUAAUGGCAAAAUAAAUCCUUCCUUAACAUAUAGACUGGUGUGGGC
Molecule: long non-coding RNA, 1240 nt
Filed under: Pogona vitticeps (central bearded dragon)
Lineage: Eukaryota; Metazoa; Chordata; Lepidosauria; Squamata; Agamidae
Description: lncRNA (ENSPVIG00000017322.1)
Source: RNAcentral